UGACACUUGGUUAUAUGUACAUGGGUAGGU
Molecule: non-coding RNA, 30 nt
Filed under: Mus musculus (house mouse)
Lineage: Eukaryota; Metazoa; Chordata; Mammalia; Rodentia; Muridae
Source: RNAcentral